CGCUGAGGAGCCGGAGUGCAGGCGGUCGGGAGCCCACUGGGCUGCGAGCCGCUCUCGCCUCGGACUUGUCGACCGCCCUGUUGGAGGCAGAACUGCCCACAGCCGCAGCCGCGAGUGGUUGCUGAGGGAAGGCGGCCCUCGGGUGUGCAGGGUUGAUGGGGACGCGGGACCGGACCACAGCCAGGGCGGCACCUAGUAACGCGUAUGCCUCUUUUGGUGACAGCGUAAAAACCGAGUAUCCGUUUCUUCUGUCCUCUUCUCUCUUCCCAACCCUUGGUACUCCCACCCCUUUUAUGCCUCCUCCCAUCCGCUUUUUCGGAUUAAAAAGACAAAGAAGAUGGAGUUUCUACAACUCCUAAGAUAAAUUUGACGUUAA
Molecule: long non-coding RNA, 376 nt
Filed under: Rattus norvegicus (Norway rat)
Lineage: Eukaryota; Metazoa; Chordata; Mammalia; Rodentia; Muridae
Description: long non-coding RNA NONRATT024345
Source: RNAcentral